This 343-nucleotide ribosomal RNA is filed under the name uncultured Smithella sp. RNAcentral describes it as "bacterial SSU rRNA". It matches the Rfam family "Bacterial small subunit ribosomal RNA", at positions 1037 to 1382 of the family's 1533-position model. Lineage: Bacteria; Pseudomonadati; Thermodesulfobacteriota; Syntrophia; Syntrophales; Smithellaceae. The record is from RNAcentral.
GGUGCUGCAUGGUGUCGUCAGCUCGUGCCGUGAGGUGUCGGGUUAAGUCCCAUAACGAGCGCAACCCUUAUCGUUAGUUGCCAUCAUUCAGCUGGGCACUUUAAAGAGACUGCCGGUGUUAAACCGGAGGAAGGUGGGAUGACGUCAAGUCCUCAUGGCCUUUAUGCCCAGGGCUACACACGUGCUACAAUGGGUGGUACAAAGAGAAGCCAACUCGCGAGAGCGCGCCAAUCUCAAAAAAGCCAUCCUCAGUUCGGAUUGGAGUCUGCAACUCGACUCCAUAAAGUUGGAAUCGCUAGUAAUCGCGGAUCAGCAUGCCGCGGUGAAUACGUUCCCGGGCCUU